CUAAGGUAGCAAAAUCAUUUGUUGCUUAAUUGGUAACUGGAAUGAAAGGUUAAACUAAUCUAUUAAGUUUGUUAUUCUAUUUAAGAAUUUAAAGUUAAGGUAAGAAUUCUUUAAUUUUCUAAGGGACGAUAAGACCCUAGAAGCUUAACAAAUAGUAGUGUUUGUUUUAGAAGUCUGUUUGUUUUACUGGGGCGGUAAAGAUAAUUAAGCUAUUUACUAUUUAGAUGAUCCUUAAGAUAUAGAUAAAAUGGAUAAGUUACUCUAGGGAUAA
This 271-nucleotide ribosomal RNA is filed under the name Gammarus balcanicus. RNAcentral describes it as "partial 16S ribosomal RNA". Lineage: Eukaryota; Metazoa; Arthropoda; Malacostraca; Amphipoda; Gammaridae. The record is from RNAcentral.